AGUGAACGCUGGCGGCAGGCCUAACACAUGCAAGUCGAGCGGCAGCGACGUCCGACCGACCCUCGGGUGGUCGGAUGGCGGCGAGCGGCGGACGGGUGAGGAAUGCAUCGGAAUCUGCCUCGUUGUGGGGGAUAACGUAGGGAAACUUACGCUAAUACCGCAUACGACCUACGGGUGAAAGUGGGGGACCUUCGGGCCUCACGCGAUGAGAUGAGCCGAUGCCGGAUUAGCUAGUUGGCGGGGUAAAGGCCCACCAAGGCGACGAUCCGUAGCUGGUCUGAGAGGAUGAUCAGCCACACUGGAACUGAGACACGGUCCAGACUCCUACGGGAGGCAGCAGUGGGGAAUAUUGGACAAUGGGGGCAACCCUGAUCCAGCCAUGCCGCGUGUGUGAAGAAGGCCUUCGGGUUGUAAAGCACUUUUGUUGGGGAAGAAACCGGCCGGGUUAAUACCCUGGUUGAAUGACGGUACCCAAAGAAUAAGCACCGGCUAACUUCGUG
Molecule: ribosomal RNA, 500 nt
Filed under: uncultured bacterium
Lineage: Bacteria
Description: bacterial SSU rRNA
Rfam family: Bacterial small subunit ribosomal RNA
Source: RNAcentral